This 71-nucleotide transfer RNA is filed under the name Cordylochernes scorpioides. RNAcentral describes it as "tRNA-Gly". It matches the Rfam family "tRNA". From Rfam's summary of the family: Transfer RNA (tRNA) molecules are approximately 80 nucleotides in length. Their secondary structure includes four short double-helical elements and three loops (D, anti-codon, and T loops). Lineage: Eukaryota; Metazoa; Arthropoda; Arachnida; Pseudoscorpiones; Chernetidae. The record is from RNAcentral.
GCAUCGGUGGUUCAGUGGUAGAAUCCUCGCCUGCCACGCGGGCGACCCGGGUUCGAUUCCCGGCCGGUGCA